Molecule: non-coding RNA, 285 nt
Organism: Prunus avium (sweet cherry)
Lineage: Eukaryota; Viridiplantae; Streptophyta; Magnoliopsida; Rosales; Rosaceae
Source: RefSeq, a predicted model, not a curated record
UACUAUCUUCGAAUUCAGGAUGACACGCUUCAUGGGACGGUGUCUUCUGUGGAUGUAGCCACAAAGAAGAACUUGGCCCGUCUUGUCACAGUUGGAGAAGGCCUAUUGAAAGAACGAGUUUCCAGGGUUAAUUUGGACAGUGGCAGGUUUGAGGCUUCUAAUAAUGAGACGAAUGAAGAGGCUCUUAGAAGGGUUGCAAAACUACUCUCUGAGGAGAAGCGUCUUCGCCAAGAAACGUUGAAUAAUGGGCUUGCUUAAAGCUCCCGCUGACAAGGAUUAAAAUAU